UACGUAGGGUGCGAGCGUUAAUCGGAAUUACUGGGCGUAAAGCGUGCGCAGGCGGUUCGUUGUGUCGGUGGUGAAAUCCCCGGGCUUAACCUGGGAAUGGCCAUGGAAACUGGCGAACUGGAGUGCGGCAGAGGGGGGUGGAAUUCCGCGUGUAGCAGUGAAAUGCGUAGAGAUGCGGAGGAACACCGAUAGCGAAGGCAGCCCCCUGGGCUAGCACUGACGCUCAGGCACGAAAGCGUGGGGAGCAAACAGG
Molecule: ribosomal RNA, 253 nt
Filed under: uncultured bacterium
Lineage: Bacteria
Description: partial 16S ribosomal RNA
Rfam family: Bacterial small subunit ribosomal RNA
Source: RNAcentral